GAAAUGCGAUAAGUAAUGUGAAUUGCAGAAUUCAGUGAAUCAUCGAAUCUUUGAACGCACCUUGCGCUCCUUGGUAUUCCUUGGAGCAUGCCUGUUUGAGUAUCAUGAAAUCUUCAAAGUAAAUCUUUUGUUAACUCAAUUGGUUUCUACUUUGGUAUUGGAGGUCUUUGCAGCUUCACACCUGCUCCUCUUUGUUCAUUAGCUGGAUCUCAUUGUUAUGCUUGGUUCCACUCGGCGUGAUAAGUUAUCUAUCGCUGAGGACACUGUAAAAGGUGGCCAAGGUAAAUGCAGAUGAACCGCUUCUAAUAGUCCAUUGACUUGGACAAUACUUUUAUGAUCUGAUCUCAAAUCAGGUAGGACUACCCGCUGAACUUAAGC
Molecule: unclassified non-coding RNA, 378 nt
Filed under: plant metagenome
Description: partial contains 5.8S ribosomal RNA, internal transcribed spacer 2, and large subunit ribosomal RNA
Rfam family: 5.8S ribosomal RNA (bases 1-105)
Source: RNAcentral